CUUGGAAACUGUUAAAUUACAGAUAAUUAUAUUAGAAACAAACUUCUCAGAUUCAGUCACUCAAAGUAACCUAUAAAACUUAUUUAAUUUCUACUUCUAUUUAAUUAUACACAUACAUCGUUUGAACUUUAAAAGUAAAUCAUACUUUAUCAAACAGAUAAGGUACACAUUAACUGUAUCAGUCUAGUUUAAUCACAUUCUUGUAAUAGUGAAAUAACUGAUCAUCCACCACGGUUCCCAUUUCUGAUUUUGAAUACAGUCUGCUGUUUGUUCUUGUCCAUUCGUUAUUUUUGUUAUCGUGAAUUUGAAGAUCGCAGGUAUGCUAUU
RNAcentral lists this long non-coding RNA (327 nucleotides) under Mytilus galloprovincialis (Mediterranean mussel). The record is from RNAcentral. Lineage: Eukaryota; Metazoa; Mollusca; Bivalvia; Mytilida; Mytilidae.